GGUCCGCUAGUGUAACUGGUAAUACGCCUGGUCUGUGAAACCUGGGGGAUCAGUAAACCGCCGGUUCGAAUCCGGCGCGGGUCA
Molecule: transfer RNA, 84 nt
Filed under: Neurospora sublineolata FGSC 5508
Lineage: Eukaryota; Fungi; Ascomycota; Sordariomycetes; Sordariales; Sordariaceae
Description: tRNA-His (GTG) (tRNA-His-GTG-3-1)
Rfam family: tRNA
About the family: Transfer RNA (tRNA) molecules are approximately 80 nucleotides in length. Their secondary structure includes four short double-helical elements and three loops (D, anti-codon, and T loops). Further hydrogen bonds mediate the characteristic L-shaped molecular structure. tRNAs have two regions of fundamental functional importance: the anti-codon, which is responsible for specific mRNA codon recognition, and the 3' end, to which the tRNAs corresponding amino acid is attached (by aminoacyl-tRNA synthetases). tRNAs cope with the degeneracy of the genetic code in two manners: having more than one tRNA (with a specific anti-codon) for a particular amino acid; and 'wobble' base-pairing, i.e. permitting non-standard base-pairing at the 3rd anti-codon position.
Source: RNAcentral